This 2069-nucleotide long non-coding RNA is filed under the name Haliotis rufescens (red abalone). RNAcentral's name for it is "uncharacterized LOC124145743". Lineage: Eukaryota; Metazoa; Mollusca; Gastropoda; Lepetellida; Haliotidae. The record is from RNAcentral.
AAGUGGUAAACAUCAGAGACCUGCACCACUUCGGGCUUUCCUCCCACAUUAAGCUGACACGCCAUGAUAUAACUGGAAUACUGUUAAAAGCGGCGUUAAACCCAACUCACUCACUCACUCCAAUAAUGUGUAAUAGGAUUAUGACAGAUCACAAGAAAUCCUUGUAUUUAGACCUAUAUGUUGUCGUGUUAGCUUAUGGAUGUUAGCAAACAUGCAAUAACAAUGCCAGAUUACCUUGCAAACUUAAGUGUAUUCAAAUAUUUGGAAUCAAACUUAAUCAAAUAUUCAGUUUUAAACAUAAAAACUGAAGUGUUUUUGUAAUAUUUACUUUAAGUUUUAUGGAUGUUGCUUCAUCAGUUGAGAAUAACUAACUUGAGAGUGAUUUUCUCUAUUUUUGACCCAUAAGUUAUGAUUGUGACACCAUAUACCCAUUAAUGCAACAUGCAGAAAGGGCUCUCUGUCCCUUGUUUGAUAUUUAGAUUAAUUCCCGAGAAACCAAUGCUGUAUAUUUUUGCUGAAGAUGAAUAUUAGUAGGGAAGAUUUGGAGUUCAAGUUUAUAUCAAAUAUUUCUUUGAUGUUUCAAUGUUUGUUUUAAAGAAAACGGGUUACAGGUGUCCAUGUCUCUAUGGCGCCACAAUUCGCUGUGCAUAAUUGCAUCUUUUUGGCACGCCAGAAAAGUUUGAUUGUAGGUUGAAUUCCGGUUCAUCCAGAUUACGUUUUCAGGUUUGUCAGCACCCUGCCCGUGCUCAUGGGUUUCACCAAAGUGGUAAACGUCUGAGACCUGCAUCACUUUCCUCUCACAUUAAGCUGACACACCGUGUUUGAUAUAACUGGAAUACUGUUAAAGUGGCGUUAAAACCAACUCACUCACUCAAGGAAAACACAUAAUGCACUGUAUUGCACCACAUCCUUAAAUGCAAAGUCUCGGAAGAGUGGUCAAUGUACAAUAUGCUCAGGCUUUUAAUACUUUUAGAGAAAAUAUGCCAAAAUAUUUUUCAAAAUGAUAUUUUCCAUCCAUUAGGAUAUUAUGUGUAUAGUGUCAAUGUUUAAUCCCUAAAUGCGUUACCUCAUGAAAUCCCACCUACAUCAUGUCCAUACUACUGCUGAACCAACUUGUAAAAACUGAGUGAAACCAAUGGUUUCAUUGAAUACAGUUUGGUAUUCUGACAAGAAGAGUUCAAGCAAUGUUCACUAUUUUCACUUUGAAAACUGACAAAAGCAUUUGCAUAAUCAUAAGAAAUCUCUACUAACAGUAGAGGCAGUGGCACCUAUCCCAAACACAUGCAGAGGCAAGUCAAGUGUUCACCUAAAAAGACACGGGAACAUGUAAUACAAGUAUGAUAGGGAAGCAUGUGUUUAUGAAUCACUAUCAAAUAGUGAUGAUACCAGGUGUUUGCAAAAAGUGAGCUUUAGGUGAAGUUUAGGCCUCACCAUAUGAUAUUCUGGUAGGUUCUGGGAUUGGUUUGAAAUGAAGUCUGUUCCUGAAAAUGCAUGAAAAAUGUGCCCUCAGUUUUACAAACAAAAACCCGUGAAGAUCCAGGUUAGAAUUGGUCUUCAGCAAAUCGUGCUUGUCAUAAAAGGCGACUAUCAUGAUCACGUGGUCAAUUUAAUGUGUUGUGGGUACAAAAAGAUUGUAUGGCUCCUCCUUUCAUAAAAAAAGGACUAUGUCUUUAAGCACGCACUGAAAAAAUAUUGUCUCCAAUAAAUAUCCCAGGCCCCCCUUCUAAAUGUUGAGGGGUUGGUCAUUUACAGAACUGGUGCAAGGAGAACACAGGUGUUAAGUUACCAAUGUGUAAUAAUACUGAGUUCUGUUGUAGAAGGUUUUAUGUACUACGUAAUACAAGUUAAAGAACACCCAUGAUUGGAAAGCUGUGUGUUGGCAUAGCCACCUGCCGUGACAGAUUUUAUUUUGUCUGAAAAAAAUCAGGUGUUCUUUAACUUCUUUUGAGUAGUACAUAUGACUAGUUUUUCACCCUGGUCAUUAUGGAUUUUAUUGCUUGUGAUAUCUUGUGUUUCAAUAUUUGUGCCAUGAAUGUAUGUAUUGAAUAAACAGGAAUAUUUCAAAUUUC